AUGGUGAAGGUCCCCACAGACCCCUGUGAGAUCUGCUCUGAAGCUAGUGCUGCCAGCAGGGAAUUUUUUGACGGCAGGAUUAUGAUCUUCAAUUUUCUUUUGGUGUCUCUUUUUAUAUUUCCACCAACUUUUUCCUUCCCAAUUUGUGAUUUUGUAUAUAUUAUAAUGGAUGUUAUUGCCCUAGGUUUUUACUGUGGCAAAUAGUCAGGGCAAAAAAUUAUAUACAACAAGCCUUUAUUUUUCAUAUUCUUUUGGAUUUUUUUUUCAUUAUAGUUAGCCUUAAUCCUUCCUUCCUGUCUGAGAUGGGAGAUAGCAAGAAUUUGUUCUGGAUCUCAUUUCCAUAAUGUUUCAAUUAGGUAUGUCUGAAUUUUAGAUAUCUGAAAGCUUUGGAAAAUAAAUAUAAUUACAUAAGUGAUGUAAAAUCGGUCUUUUAAUUUUGUUUCCUAAUCUAAGUCACUACCUGGAAAAACAGAAAAAGCAGGUCCACUCACAGAGAGGCAAGCAUUUUUCUCUUUAAAUUCACCGGAUAACUUAAAAAAAUUUCCUGGUUUGCAUGGUUUUACUCAAACUAGCCUGAAAUAUUGCACAAACUUUUGCUGAUUGUUAUACAUUUUGGAAAAUAAAAAAUAUAAACCCUGCUUCAGUGGCUGUGAUAUGUUGUUCUGUGAAUUGAAAAGUAUAGGACAAGGGUUUACAUAUGCAAGCUUUAGAAACCUUCUGAUUAUAAAGAUGAAUUUAGACUGAAAAAAUUACUAACCCAGCAUUAUGUUUACUCCUAAUGGGCUUUUAGCAAUACUUAGCCAGCUUUUUUACACACUUUAUUGAUUACACUCUGACAUAUGGAAAGCUAAGUGGUUGCCACAGUCAUUCCAGGUAGGACUUCAUCUACACCAAAUCAUUUAUGUUCAUCAAAGUGCUUAUUUAUAAUACAUCUGCACAACCAGUACAGACAAAGCUGUGAUCUUCAAUGACAAGUUAAUAGUUCAAACAAUUAAAAUGGCCAUGAAGAAACUGAGAGUGCAAAAAAUGGUGAGAUUCCCUACUCCCACAUCCCACAGGAACUACAGCUUCUCUAUAUCAGCAGUGGUUAAAGCAGAUGAUGUGGUGUGAGAAACAGACUAGAGCCUGGAGGUGAGACAGCUGCAGUUGCUCAGCUCUGCACUGGAGUUCAAGAGUCCUUUGCCCUGCAGAGUUUGGCGAGCCAUCCCAUGAGA
Molecule: long non-coding RNA, 1214 nt
Filed under: Taeniopygia guttata (zebra finch)
Lineage: Eukaryota; Metazoa; Chordata; Aves; Passeriformes; Estrildidae
Description: lncRNA (ENSTGUG00000026342.1)
Source: RNAcentral